GGUCUCUCAGCUCUGAUCAGUUGCACGUUUCGGAGUUGUGUGAUUGUCUUUUUAUGAGAGAGACACAGCAAAUGAGCUUUGUAUGCACGGCAGGUUGUCCUCCAAGUGGUCUUCCUGUUCCUGUUUUUAAGUUCAACAAAU
This is a small nucleolar RNA of Rana temporaria (common frog), 141 nucleotides long. RefSeq annotates it as small nucleolar RNA SNORA64/SNORA10 family. NCBI's taxonomy places the organism in Eukaryota, Metazoa, Chordata, Amphibia, Anura, Ranidae. The record is from RefSeq and is a predicted model, not a curated record. The transcript has a single exon.